CGACUCGAGCGCCAGCGAGAGAGCGUUGCCGCAGGCAACGACCCGAAGGGCGAAGCGCGCAGCGUUGAGUAAUCCUUCCCCCACCACCA
RNAcentral lists this small RNA (89 nucleotides) under Escherichia coli. RNAcentral's name for it is "partial RtT sRNA". It matches the Rfam family "RtT RNA", at positions 44 to 130 of the family's 130-position model. From Rfam's summary of the family: This family represents a bacterial cis-regulatory element known as RtT RNA. The exact function of RtT is unknown although it is thought that it may be involved in changing the cellular response in relation to amino acid starvation. The record is from RNAcentral. Lineage: Bacteria; Pseudomonadati; Pseudomonadota; Gammaproteobacteria; Enterobacterales; Enterobacteriaceae.